Molecule: long non-coding RNA, 670 nt
Organism: Cyprinus carpio (common carp)
Lineage: Eukaryota; Metazoa; Chordata; Actinopteri; Cypriniformes; Cyprinidae
Source: Ensembl
UUUUUACAGGAAUGCACAAGCCUUCCCAACAAACCAUGUGUCAGAUUUGCAGCAGUGGUUUUUAUCAGAUCCACUGGGGCCAAGAGAACUGUGACGUGUGUCCUGAAAACCACUACUGCCCUGUGAGUGAUUAAUUCCUCUAAGCACACACACAGAGUCAGUCUUUACAGUUACCACGGGACUUUAUGGUUUCCUUUUUCUGCAUGCAAAUCUUAUACUGUAGUUUUUUUAUACUUACUUGUUUAUCCAAGAAAAUAAAUGUACCUCUGUCUGUAUCCCAGAGUCCUGAUGUAAAUCCGAUCCAGUGUCCCGCUGAUGCGUUCUGUCCUGAGGGCAGCACGGCCCCUGGUUACUGCAUGGAGACCUUCUUCAGAAAGGCAGGGGAGACAUGUGAACUUGCUCCUGUUACCAUUGCACUGCUUGUUAUUGGAGGAGGAGUAGGUCUUCUCUUCAUCAUCGUUUUGGUUCUGCGGAAGAGAAGAGAUAAUGACAGCGAGCUUUCCCUUGCUCGGACGCCCCUCCUGCGAAAGGACCGCACACCUGGCCGCUUCCAUGGAGUCCCUCGUGAUGCAGAGCCUGUUUAUGCAGGCUGGUGACAUUAACAACUACACUGACCUGUUUUCAGCUGCACAGAUUUUGUCUGAAAGUUUCUGUUGAGAACUUUAUAUUG